GGGUGAAAAGCCCGCUCGCCGGAAGACCAAGGGUUCCUGUCCAACGUUAAUCGGGGCAGGGUAAGUCGACCCCUAAGGCGAGGCCGAAAGGCGUAGUCGAUGGGAAACAGGUUAAUAUUCCUGUACUUGGUGUUAUUGCGAAGGGGGGACGGAGAAGGCUAGACCGGCCGGGCGACGGUUGUCCCGGUUUAAGCGUGUAGGUGUGAUGACCUGGCAAAUCCGGUCAUCUUUAACACUGAGGCGUGAUGACGAGGCACUACGGUGCUAAAGUGGUUAAUGCCCUGCUUCCAGGAAAAGCCUCUAAGCUCCAGAUAACACUGAAUCGUACCCCAAACCGACACAGGUGGUCAGGUAGAGAAUACCAAGGCGCUUGAGAGAACUCGGGUGAAGGAACUAGGCAAAAUGGUGCCGUAACUUCGGGAGAAGGCACGCUGGCAUGUAGGUGAAGUCCCUUGCGGAUGGAGCCGAAGCCAGUCGAAGAUACCAACUGGCUGCAACUGUUUAAUAAAAACACAGCACUCUGCAAACACGAAAGUGGACGUAUAGGGUGUGACGCCUGCCCGGUGCUGGAAGGUUAAUUGAUGGGGUCAGCCGCAAGGCGAAGCUCUUGAUCGAAGCCCCAGUAAACGGCGGCCGUAACUAUAACGGUCCUAAGGUAGCGAAAUUCCUUGUCGGGUAAGUUCCGACCUGCACGAAUGGCGUAAUGAUGGCCAGGCUGUCUCCACCCGAGACUCAGUGAAAUUGAACUCGCUGUGAAGAUGCAGUGUACCCGCGGCAAGACGGAAAGACCCCGUGAACCUUUACUAUAGCUUGACACUGAACAUUGAACCUUGAUGUGUAGGAUAGGUGGGAGGCUUUGAAGUGUGGACGCCAGUCUGCAUGGAGCCGACCUUGAAAUACCACCCUUUAAUGUUUGAUGUUCUAACCUGGCCCCGUGAU
Molecule: ribosomal RNA, 939 nt
Filed under: Edwardsiella anguillarum
Lineage: Bacteria; Pseudomonadati; Pseudomonadota; Gammaproteobacteria; Enterobacterales; Hafniaceae
Description: bacterial LSU rRNA
Rfam family: Bacterial large subunit ribosomal RNA
Source: RNAcentral